GAUGAAGAACGUAGCGAAAUGCGAUACGUAAUGUGAAUUGCAGAAUUCAGUGAAUCAUCGAGUCUUUGAACGCACAUUGCGCCCCCUGGUAUUCCGGGGGGCAUGCCUGUCCGAGCGUCAUUGCUGCCCUCAAGCACGGCUUGUGUGUUGGGCCUCCGUCCUCCUCCCGGGGGACGGGCCCGAAAGGCAGCGUCGGCACCGCGUCCGGUCCUCGAGCGUAUGGGGCUUCGUCACCCGCUCUUGUAGGCCCGGUCGGCGCUUGCCGACACAUCAAUCUUUUUUCCAGGUUGACCUCGGAUCAGGUAGGGAUACCCGCUGAACUUAAGCAUAUCAAUAAGCGGAGGA
This 345-nucleotide unclassified non-coding RNA is filed under the name soil metagenome. RNAcentral describes it as "partial contains 5.8S ribosomal RNA, internal transcribed spacer 2, and large subunit ribosomal RNA". The stretch from base 1 to 120 matches the Rfam family "5.8S ribosomal RNA", at positions 35 to 154 of the family's 154-position model. The record is from RNAcentral.